This 403-nucleotide ribosomal RNA is filed under the name uncultured bacterium. RNAcentral's name for it is "partial 16S ribosomal RNA". It matches the Rfam family "Bacterial small subunit ribosomal RNA", at positions 28 to 526 of the family's 1533-position model. The record is from RNAcentral.
GACGAACGCUGGCGGCGUGCCUAAUACAUGCAAGUCGAACGCAGUGGGGACGGGGGAGGAACACGUGGGUAACCGCCCAGCAGGGGCGAUAACACUUGGAAACAGGUGCUAAACCGGUACUGAUGGCUGGACCCGCGGUGCAUUAGCUAGUUGGUGAGGUAACGGCGCACCAAGGCAACGAUGCAUAGCCGACCUGUGAGGGUGAUCGGCCACACUGGGACUGAGACACGGCCCAGACUCCUACGGGAGGCAGCAGUAGGGAAUCUUCGGCAAUGGACGAAAGCCUGACCGAGCAACGCCGCGUGAGUGAAGAAGGUUUUCGGAUCGUAAAACUCUGUUGUUAGAGAAGCGGUAUCUAACCAGAAAGCCACGGCUAACUACGUGCCAGCAGCCGCGGUAAUUC